Molecule: ribosomal RNA, 648 nt
Filed under: uncultured fungus
Lineage: Eukaryota; Fungi
Description: eukaryotic LSU rRNA
Rfam family: Eukaryotic large subunit ribosomal RNA
Source: RNAcentral
CCCGCUGAACUUAAGCAUAUCAAUAAGCGGAGGAAAAGAAACCAACAGGGAUUACCUCAGUAACGGCGAGUGAAGCGGUAACAGCUCAAAUUUGAAAGCUGCCAACAGGCCGCGUUGUAAUUUGUAGAAGCUGCUUUGGGUGUCGGCCCGGUCUAAGUUCCUUGGAACAGGACGUCAUAGAGGGUGAGAAUCCCGUAUGUGAUCGGUGCCGUUGCCCGUGUAAAGCGCUUUCGACGAGUCGAGUUGUUUGGGAAUGCAGCUCAAAAUGGGUGGUAAAUUUCAUCUAAAGCUAAAUAUUGGCCAGAGACCGAUAGCGCACAAGUAGAGUGAUCGAAAGAUGAAAAGCACUUUGGAAAGAGAGUUAAACAGUACGUGAAAUUGUUGAAAGGGAAACGCUUGAAGUCAGUCACGUUGGCCAGGGAUCAACCUUGCUUUUGCUUGGUGUACUUUCUGGUUGAUGGGUCAGCAUCAAUUUUGACCAUUGGAAAAAGGUCAAGGGAAUGUGGCAUCUUCGGAUGUGUUAUAGCCCUUGGUUGCAUACAAUGGUUGGGAUUGAGGAACUCAGCACGCCGCAAGGCCGGGUUUUUAACCACGUACGUGCUUAGGAUGCUGGCAAAAUGGCUUUAAUCGACCCGUCUUGAAACACGG